This 301-nucleotide ribosomal RNA is filed under the name uncultured bacterium. Its description in RNAcentral is "partial 16S ribosomal RNA". It matches the Rfam family "Bacterial small subunit ribosomal RNA", at positions 509 to 807 of the family's 1533-position model. The record is from RNAcentral.
CAGCAGCCACGGUAAUACGGAGGGUGCAAGCGUUAAUCGGAAUUACUGGGCGUAAAGCGCACGCAGGCGGUCUGACAAGUCAGAUGUGAAAUCCCCGGGCUCAACCUGGGACCUGCAUUUGUGACUGUAUAGCUAGAGUACGGUAGAGGGGGAUGGAAUUCCGCGUGUAGCAGUGAAAUGCGUAGAUAUGCGGAGGAACACCGAUGGCGAAGGCAAUCCCCUGGACCUGUACUGACGCUCAUGCACGAAAGCGUGGGGAGCAAACAGGAUUAGAUACCCCUGUAGUCCCUGUCUCUUAUAC